Molecule: long non-coding RNA, 762 nt
Organism: Lethenteron reissneri (Far Eastern brook lamprey)
Lineage: Eukaryota; Metazoa; Chordata; Hyperoartia; Petromyzontiformes; Petromyzontidae
Source: RefSeq, a predicted model, not a curated record
CAACAACAAUGCAUGUCGCUGCACCACUGCUAACCCCUUUUUUCAUCUGAGGCGAUGUUUUACAUUUGUGCUGAAUGUUUCCUUUUCAAGAAUAAUACCCACACUUUAUAAUAGUAAGGGAGAACCAGAUAUAAAAUGAACCCAGAUUUUUCAGAGAGCCGUGGAGCAGGUUCAGGGCUCCCAUUGAUACCGUUGUUUAACAAGAGGAAGCGUGUCCGACAACCCAUGACUUCUGAGCCCUCUGAUGGUGAGCUAAUGGAGACCUUGGCUAGCCCCGCCAGUCAUUCUUCCCAGUGGGGGGCUGCUGGCUCAGCCCUAAGCCCUGGCACGUGGCCAGCUGAAGUUGCGCAGAGUUUCUCAAGUGGUGGUUCCCCUCAGGACGGUGGUGGUUUCGAGAGACAGCAGGCCAAAGCGGGAGGGCGGAGGCCAGGACUUAUGCAGGUUCCUGUGCCUGCCAGCCGUUAUGUGACCCACAGAUCUGAAGGAUGUGUAAACAUGAACACCAGGGAGACAAAGGCGACCGGGCGUGAUGCUGGCCACCCCCCUCCCCUCGUGUGCCGUACCGACCUUCAUAGGUGCUCGCUAACAUCACUUUCCCCAAUGAUCUGUUAAGGCUAUAUGGGGGAUCUUUAAUGUUUAUAUAUGCAGGUGGGAGCGAUAGUGUAGCAGUUAGCGUGCUGCACUAUCAACCCGAUGACCUGAGUUUGAUUCCCACUCACGGGUAACAUACUUGUCAACCCAUACGGUUUACCUGUAUUCUUG